GGGCGCUUAACUCAGUGGCUAGAGUGCUUCCUUUACACGGAAGAAGUCGGGAGUUCAAAUCUCUCAGCGCCCACCA
This 76-nucleotide transfer RNA is filed under the name Candidatus Spechtbacteria bacterium RIFCSPHIGHO2_01_FULL_43_30. Its description in RNAcentral is "tRNA-Val". It matches the Rfam family "tRNA". From Rfam's summary of the family: Transfer RNA (tRNA) molecules are approximately 80 nucleotides in length. Their secondary structure includes four short double-helical elements and three loops (D, anti-codon, and T loops). Further hydrogen bonds mediate the characteristic L-shaped molecular structure. tRNAs have two regions of fundamental functional importance: the anti-codon, which is responsible for specific mRNA codon recognition, and the 3' end, to which the tRNAs corresponding amino acid is attached (by aminoacyl-tRNA synthetases). tRNAs cope with the degeneracy of the genetic code in two manners: having more than one tRNA (with a specific anti-codon) for a particular amino acid; and 'wobble' base-pairing, i.e. permitting non-standard base-pairing at the 3rd anti-codon position. The record is from RNAcentral. Lineage: Bacteria; Candidatus Spechtiibacteriota. RNAcentral also lists the same sequence under 1 other name.